This 74-nucleotide transfer RNA is filed under the name Microcaldota archaeon. RNAcentral describes it as "Candidatus Micrarchaeota archaeon (hot springs metagenome) tRNA-Met". It matches the Rfam family "tRNA". From Rfam's summary of the family: Transfer RNA (tRNA) molecules are approximately 80 nucleotides in length. Their secondary structure includes four short double-helical elements and three loops (D, anti-codon, and T loops). Further hydrogen bonds mediate the characteristic L-shaped molecular structure. tRNAs have two regions of fundamental functional importance: the anti-codon, which is responsible for specific mRNA codon recognition, and the 3' end, to which the tRNAs corresponding amino acid is attached (by aminoacyl-tRNA synthetases). tRNAs cope with the degeneracy of the genetic code in two manners: having more than one tRNA (with a specific anti-codon) for a particular amino acid; and 'wobble' base-pairing, i.e. permitting non-standard base-pairing at the 3rd anti-codon position. Lineage: Archaea; Nanobdellati; Microcaldota. RNAcentral also lists the same sequence under 1 other name. The record is from RNAcentral.
GCCGGUGUAGCUCAGCUGGGUAGAGCGCCAGACUCAUAACCUGGAGGUCGAGGGUUCAAAUCCCUCCACCGGCA